RNAcentral lists this transfer RNA (76 nucleotides) under Clostridiales bacterium. Its description in RNAcentral is "tRNA-Pro". It matches the Rfam family "tRNA". From Rfam's summary of the family: Transfer RNA (tRNA) molecules are approximately 80 nucleotides in length. Lineage: Bacteria; Bacillati; Bacillota; Clostridia; Eubacteriales. The record is from RNAcentral.
CCGGGUGUGGCGCAGAUGGUAGCGCGCAUGACUGGGGGUCAUGAGGCCGCAGGUUCAAGUCCUGUCACUCGGACCA